UACAGAGGGUGCAAGCGUUGUUCGGAAUUAUUGGGCGUAAAGGGCGCGUAGGCGGUGCGGUAAGUCACCUGUGAAAUCUCCGGGCUUAACUCGGAGCCUGCAGGCGAAACUACCGUGCUGGAGUAUGGGAGAGGUGCGUGGAAUUCCCGGUGUAGCGGUGAAAUGCGCAGAUAUCAGGAGGAACACCGGUGGCGAAGGCGGGACUCUGGGCCGAUACUGACGCUGAGGAGCGAAAGCGUGGGGAGCGAACAGG
Molecule: ribosomal RNA, 253 nt
Filed under: uncultured prokaryote
Description: partial 16S ribosomal RNA
Rfam family: Bacterial small subunit ribosomal RNA
Source: RNAcentral